Molecule: ribosomal RNA, 154 nt
Filed under: Fusarium sublunatum
Lineage: Eukaryota; Fungi; Ascomycota; Sordariomycetes; Hypocreales; Nectriaceae
Description: partial large subunit ribosomal RNA
Source: RNAcentral
AAGCGUUUAUGACCAGACUUGGGCUUGGUUAAUCAUCUGGGGUUCUCCCCAGUGCACUUUUCCAGUCCAGGCCAGCAUCAGUUUUCCCCGGGGGAUAAAGGCGGCGGGAAUGUGGCUCUCUUCGGGGAGUGUUAUAGCCCGUUGCAUAAUACCC